Long non-coding RNA from Enhydra lutris kenyoni (northern sea otter), 3620 nucleotides. RefSeq lists it as uncharacterized. The record is from RefSeq and is a predicted model, not a curated record. The transcript has 3 exons. Lineage: Eukaryota; Metazoa; Chordata; Mammalia; Carnivora; Mustelidae.
UCAAAAAAUACGACCCUGCCCCCGCGGAAGAGAUCCCAGUUGGAUUCCGACCUACGGAAGCCCAGAAGGACCAGGCUUACCAGUGCCGCCAAAUGCGUGCCAGGCGAGGAUGCGCGGCUAAGUGGCGCUGCCUGUUUCCCUCGGCUCUUUACUGACCGAGCCUCCUCUGACUCCCUGUCCCCAGAGCAUCUUAGCACCCCGGCUUCUUCCCUGCUUUUCCUCUUCAGGAGUCGUCCAGCUAGACUUGAAAGGGCCGAAGGAAGCCCCGGGAGGAGGAAAGGCCAGCCGCCAGGUCCCAGUGCCCGCUGCCCAGCCUCUAUCCUCGCCCCUGCCUUGGAUGGGCUUGGGCAAGAGAUAAACCUCUCUGGGCCUGUAUCCUCUUCGGCACCACGGGAGAUAACCCACCUAUACCUUGGAUCUGUUGUGGGGUUUAAGUGGGGAGCGCGCGUGUGUGGUUCAUGUUAGCCCCCUCCCGACUCGUGAGAAAUUGCCUCUGCCAGGAACGUGGGAGCCGAAUUUGUCCUUGGCCGGAGAACUGCCGCUUCCCAUCACGUACAUCAACCAAGAAAGACUGUGUCACGAAUUCACAAGCUUUUUCCAGCAGGAGACCCGUUUAUUACUCUCCUACCCGGCUCUAUGCAUCAUGUGUUGAGAAAUUUUGUGCUUAACUAUUGCAGUAUGAUUACUGAGCACCUGCUAUUUGCUGGGAACUGUUAGACAUUAUGCUUGGCAAUAGAUAAAGACGAGUAAGAGAUCACGUUGCCCUUGAGGCACUCCUGGACCGAAGAUGACCACAGAGAACUACUACAGUGUAGUGCAGUGUUUAUAAAUGUGCAGAAGCUUUUUUGUUAAUUCAGUCAGCGUUUUCUGAGCAGCCAUAUCCACUAAAGUGCUGGGGACAGAGGGUUAGAAGCCUUGUCAACAGGAAGUGAAUUCUUCCUAUCAAAUACAGUCUUCUGUUGAUUGUCUCCUUGCAAGAAGAAGCCUAUUGGAAUUCCACUGAAGAAUUUUACAGGAUUGAAGAAACUAGGAUUUCAACCAAGUCUGAGUGAGGCUAGCUCCGGGAGCACCCACGUGACUCGGCUUUGAGGACACUGUGUGUCUGUGGCAGAGGGUAAGAGCUGGCUCGCGCCCUCUGCCCAUUGCCACUCGCAUGCCAGCUUCGGACCCUCAGCAUCUGUGUCACUUUGGAGUUUUCUCUGGUCACACUGUCCUGCAGCAGUGAGAGAUGGAAUUGUCAGAUAAGGGACAUCAGUGUGAGUCUGGAGCCCUGCUGCCCAGCACCAGAGCAGCCCCCGGCGAACCUCUGAAGACACGCAGUGUGCUGUGUUCUGGGAUAGGGUGUUAGGGAGAAGAAUGGAGAAACUUCCUGCGGGGGCUAGUGGGUCAGGCGGCAGGGAGGUGCUCAGCUCAGCCACAAGAACAGGACAGGAAAAGGACUGUUCCUAAAGCUAGACGGAGAAGGAGGGGGUAAGGGCGGGGACUGGCCUAGAAUGAGAGGCCAGGUGGGCAGGACCUAUGAAGGUAUCCCCAAGCACUCCUGAAAUUUCUGGCUCUGGGGCCAAUUUGGGAGCUACGUUUGGGUCCAUCGUGUUCUGUGGAAGGACAAUCUCUCUCGUUUUAAUUGCUCACACUUAAGUUGAGAGCCACCAUCAGGCUUGCAAACCUAGAGAGUAGAGGUGUGACCUGGCUAACUGGCCUCCCAGAUGCCCAGAGUCCUCCAGGCUUUUAACACCGGUCUUGUCCUUGACAAGAUCUAAAUCAUUCAGUACCCAGAAUUUGGCCUGUUGAUGGUGUGCAUGUCAUCAAAUAAAACAAGCUCAUUUCUAAGAAAAGGCAGGUGGAAACAAGAAGGGGGUCCUGACCCAAGGAAUAUUUGAUCAGGAGGAAAAAAAACUACGAUAUCAAGGAGACAGCAGAGUUCAUAUCCUAAUCCUGCUACUCCUGACGUGACCUGAGGCAAGUCACUUAAGCUCUCACAUCUCAUCCACAGAAUGGGCGUUUUACAGCCCCCUCCUGGACUAGGUGAAAGAUUUGUGAGAUGGACAGAUGCAGACGUAAAGGGCUUAGCACUCCACAUGAGGAACCCGGUGUCAUUGGGGAAGUGAAGUCUAGGCAGUGGGGAGAGCAGCCCGGGAGUGGCACAUGGUCAAUACCAGUGAAGCAGUGACAGGUCCCAGCAUUGCAGCCUCGAAGGGGUGAGCCUAGUGGCCUUCCCAUAGGAAGAGGUCAGGCUGUGGAGCAGCAGGAGAACAGAUGCUGAUGGAAACAGUAGCCGUCUUUGACCAGCACCUUACCUGGAAGGACUAAUCUUCACAGCAACCACAUGAGGUAGUCACCAGCAUGACUGGGAUCUGAUGAAGCAUUACGUUAGUCCUUUGAUAGAAGGAUUCAGUGAUCUUUUUGGGAGAUUCGUUGUAAUUGCUGAGUACAUACCUUAUUUAUUUAUCAGAGCCGAAAGGCCCCUCAUUGCCCGGGUCUUGGCCUGUCGCCUCCCAGCUUGUGAACUGGAGCGUAGACGUGAACCCAGGCAGGUUUGGCCUCAGAGCCUAAGCUCUGAGCUGCUAGGCUAAGCAGGCUCUGAUGACUCAGCAUUUCAGGACAUAAGUUACAGAAAAGUCAGAGAGCCCAGAGCUCAUUCUUGCCAAGUGCUGGCUCUGAGAUGCUGGGCCACUUCAUUCAUUCAGCUAGACACCAGGAAGACAGUAUAUGUGACCUGCUUGCCCUUUUCCCACCCAGACCUGUGGCAGGCAUGGCUAAUCAAUCCUGGCAUUUCUUAUCCUUCCUAAGCACUGGGGUAGGGCCUCCAAAUCCUGAAGGACACCAGAAAAUCACCAGUUGACUAGCAUUAACACAUCAGAUAAAAUCUAGUUGCUGUACCUCUCAUGAAGUCUUAAGGCAUGCCAGACAAUAGUACAGAAGUGCAAACCGGGGGUUGCUUUUAUGCCAGUAAGCGUCUGCCUGUCAUUUCCUUAAGACAUCCAACAUAGAACAAGUGCCCCAAAAAUCACAAAAGUCACACAGGGAAAUCGUCCUGCCAAGCUCAGAAAAAUGAAGGUAUUACCAGGUUGUACUAGAGGGUGAAUCCUUGCUUGAGGAGGGUCCCUUGGACUCUACCCCCUCCUUGGGCACCACCCCAAGGCCAUGGCCACAACUCCCGAGGAAACCUCACAUUAAAAAGACAAAACAAGGGGAAGAAAAUCCCAGCCUUCUGAGAUUGGUGGUGGAGAGCAGAGUCCCUGUUUGCAAGGCCACAUCACGAAUCACAGCACCAGGCUCUUGACAAGGCUGGAUGGAGGCCUGGUUUCAGGGACCAACACGGUCGGGCACAGAGAGCCCUCGAGGUCACUGCCUGUCAUCAGGACAAGGAUUUAGAACCACCAGCUCCCUUUAACCCUUGGUUCUCAAACUCAUUCAAAUACUACUCAACUCUUCAGCCACUGAGUAGAAUCACUCCCAGGCAGUAGAGUGCCAGGCGCUUUUGUGGAAUAUCAUGAAAUAUGGAUAAAUUAAAUGAAAACUGACCCAGUGCUAUAAAAGUUCACAGCCACUUCCAUUGUACCUGAGCUAGAAUCGCAUGCAUGGUGACAGAUGUGGUGAAAUUUUUUAGGCAGGGACUC